RNAcentral lists this ribosomal RNA (426 nucleotides) under uncultured bacterium. Its description in RNAcentral is "partial 16S ribosomal RNA". It matches the Rfam family "Bacterial small subunit ribosomal RNA", at positions 354 to 796 of the family's 1533-position model. The record is from RNAcentral.
GUGAGGAAUUUUCCGCAAUGGGCGAAAGCCUGACGGAGCAAUGCCGCGUGAAGGAUGAAGGCCUAUGGGUUGUAAACUUCUUUUCUCAGAAAAGAAUUAUGACGGUAUCUGAGGAAUAAGAAUCGGCUAACUCUGUGCCAGCAGCCGCGGUAAGACAGAGGAUGCAAGCGUUAUCCGGAAUGAUUGGGCGUAAAGCGUCUGUAGGUUGUUUAAAAAGUAUUCUGUCAAAGAUUAGGGCUUAACCCUAGAUAGGCAGAAUAAACUUUUAAGCUAGAGUUUGGUAGAGGCAGAGGGAAUUCCCGGUGGAGCGGUGAAAUGCGUAGAUAUCGGGAGGAACACCAAAGGCGAAGGCACUCUGCUGGGCCAAUACUAACACUGAGAGACGAAAGCGAGGGGAGCAAAUGGGAUUAGAAACCCCGGUAGUCC